RNAcentral lists this ribosomal RNA (782 nucleotides) under uncultured bacterium. Its description in RNAcentral is "bacterial SSU rRNA". It matches the Rfam family "Bacterial small subunit ribosomal RNA", at positions 28 to 795 of the family's 1533-position model. The record is from RNAcentral. RNAcentral also lists the same sequence under 1 other name.
AAUGAAACGCUAGCUACAGGCUUAACACAUGCAAGUCGAGGGGCAGCAUGAAAGGAACUUCGGUUCUUCUUUGAUGGCGACCGGCGCACGGGUGCGUAACGCGUAUCGAACCUGCCUCAUACUCGGGGAUAGCCUUGCGAAAGUAAGAUUAAUACCCGGCGGUCUCGGAUGGCCGCAUGACUAUCCGAGUGAAGAUUUAUCGGUAUGAGAUGGCGAUGCGUCCCAUUAGCUAGUUGGUGAGGUAAUGGCUCACCAAGGCAUCGAUGGGUAGGGGUUCUGAGAGGAAGGUCCCCCACAUUGGAACUGAGACACGGUCCAAACUCCUACGGGAGGCAGCAGUGAGGAAUAUUGGUCAAUGGACGAAAGUCUGAACCAGCCAAGUAGCGUGCAGGACGACGGCCCUCUGGGUUGUAAACUGCUUUUAGUUGGGAAUAAAAAGAGGGACGUGUCCCUUAUUGUAUGUACCAUCAGAAAAAGGACCGACUAAUUCCGUGCCAGCAGCCGCGGUAAUACGGAAGGUCCAGGCGUUAUCCGGAUUUAUUGGGUUUAAAGGGAGCGCAGGCGGCGGCGUAAGUCAGUUGUGAAAUCGUGCGGCUUAACCGUGCAAUUGCAGUUGAUACUGCGUCGCUUGAGUGCACACAGGGAUGUUGGAAUUCAUGGUGUAGCGGUGAAAUGCUUAGAUAUCAUGAAGAACUCCGAUCGCGAAGGCAUAUGUCCGGAGUGCAACUGACGCUGAGGCUCGAAAGUGUGGGUAUCAAACAGGAUUAGAUACCCUGGUAGUC